Molecule: transfer RNA, 61 nt
Filed under: Caenorhabditis sinica
Lineage: Eukaryota; Metazoa; Nematoda; Chromadorea; Rhabditida; Rhabditidae
Description: tRNA-Asp
Source: RNAcentral
AAAGUUUUAGUAUAAUAAAGUAUAUUUUAUUGUCAAUAAAAAGGUAAAAACUUUAAUUUAA